GCUGCUGACUUUGGCAAAAACAAGAAAAAAGCCCAAAUAGUACCAGAGGACAAAGAGAUGGAGACAAGUUCAGGUCUGUCUCCAACUGUUGUAACAGGAAUAUGUGCUGCUGUUGUUCUGCUGCUGGCUGUUGUUGUUGUUGUUGGUGUGAUGAUCCAUUGCCGCAGGAGAUCCAGAGAUGACAUGAAGAAAAUCAAACAAGUGCCAGAACUAGUGUCUGAUGAUGAGACACAGAAUGAAACAAGUCUCAUGACCUGAGAGGAUGGCAAAAGCUUGGGCAAAAAACAAGCUCCUCGUAAAACCAAAAUAAGUUUGAGCUGAAACAUAACUAAUAUUAACCAUGUGAUGCUUACAGUCAUAUAGUCUUUCUUGUUCAUUUCUAAUUUUAUCAUUUGUGAUGCGAUCUAGGAAAACCCAACACAUAGUGAAUUUUUAACAAAAGUUAUGGCCAUCUGAAGUUGGCUGAUUAUGAUUUUCCGGAAUGUUAUUUUGGGUUUCUAUUUAAGGAUCUUCUGUCAGGGGCGAUAUAAUGCAUCAUUACACAAACAGACUAACAUAUCCCUAAAGAGGACAGUUUUCCGAGGUAUAUCAUGAUGAACAUAGUCUCUGAACUUCUGAUCAGCUCUUUUAUGUUUGGAUUGCACCUCUGCAGCGUGUUCUUAACAUGAGAGAAACACAAGUCUUUUCAGCUUGCUGCCAUAAAUAGUUAUUUUUCUGAACUAAACAAGUGCAUUUUGCCAAUAAAUUUUCAGAGAUAAUAGACAAGAUGUUAUAGAAUAAUUAUUGAAUGAAACCCCUAGUUUUCAAUAAAAAAAAAAAAAAAAUAUAUAUAUAUAUAUAUAUAUAUAUAUAUAGGGGAGAGCGGGGUAAGUUGUCACACUUUUCAUACUGUCUAACAUUUUUAAGAGCACUGUACAUCACAAUGAUAUAAAUGUCAUACCAAAUGAAAGAAUGAAGUCUUGGGCACAUAUGUUGUUUUCAUUACAUUGUCAUCUUAUAUCAUUACUGAGUUGUAGACUGUUGAAUAGAGAAUGUGCACUUGUGACAACUUGCCCCAUCGGCAGGUAAGUUGUCACACUAGACUAUCUAAAAAUAAGAACACAAUUAUUUAAUUCUGAUUAUUGAUUUUAACUUUAUAAUUCUACCAGAACUGGAAAUGUAAAAAAAAUCAUGCUUAGAGAAUUUGGAAAAAAACAAUAAUUUCAAUCCAAACAAUACACAUUUGAAUCAAAACACGUUUAAGUGGCAAGACCACUUUCUUUGAACUUUAAACUCAAACGUUCUCUGGCUUGCACAUAGAUCCAUGAUAACUAAAUGAAAUACUGCAGAUAACUCGCUUAACUUUACAAGUUUAACCUCUGGACAAAACAGAUUCCCUGUAUCUGACUAAUCAGACUCAUCUUCAGAGUCAUAAUUCUGGCAUACCUAAAUUGCCUGAACUGAAGUGCAAGCAUCAUGGCCCCAUUUGUUGAUUUUUACGCAUUUUACCCAUGCAGGACUCUCUUGGACGAAUGUUUGAAUAUGGCUCCACAACGUCAAGGCAGAAGCACUCUUCAUCAUCUGAUGAUGACUCUUCUAUUAUUUUUCUUCUUUUAACUGCCUUGUUUUUAGUAGGUCCAGAUUUUGACUUGCAUACAACAAUUUUGAAACCACUUUUAGCUAGAUUCAGCUUUAUUCUUUUCUAUUUCUAAUUGCUUUUCUAUUUCUAAGAAUUGCUCUGGAGUUGGUAGUCCGCUGUCAGCAAUAG
Molecule: long non-coding RNA, 1747 nt
Organism: Carassius carassius (crucian carp)
Lineage: Eukaryota; Metazoa; Chordata; Actinopteri; Cypriniformes; Cyprinidae
Exons: 4
Source: RefSeq, a predicted model, not a curated record